AUCAUAUGUGUAAGUCACAUUUAGGAAGUUAUACACUUUCUUUUUUUUAGUUUUACAUGAAGUGAUUUUGAUCACUAAAUUAUAGUUAUAGAGUCUUUUACAUUUACGUUUCUGGUGAUCUGAUGUGCUAAAUCCAGGUAUAUACCAAGUGGGUUACACCUGAACCUGAUUAAGAGUCAAUAAAAAGGUCUACUCUCUAAAUAGGAUUCCAAAUUAUAUCAGUACUACAUAAAAAAGGAACAUAAAGAUGUCAGCCAGAAAACAAGUAACAAGUAACCAUGACAUUUUCAUGGUUUUACUUUACUUUUGCACAAAUGCACUUAAGAGUUCCAUUCUAAUCUGAUAAAAACUACUAUUGGGAUUACAUAUCAUCACAAUGAUAUGUAAGGAAUAACAAAAGAACGACUGGAAAUCCCUAUGUAUACUAAAGAAACAAUAAUGCAUUAAAGGUGGGGUCUCCGUUGUUUGAAAGCCAAUGUUGACAUUUGAAAUCACCAAAACAAACACGCCUCUAACCCAAAUGGGUGUCACCCCUGUAUUGAUAGCUCUGCAAACACACAUACAUAACCCAGGCAAAUGAAAGAAAUGUGUCUUUAUCAUAGCUGAAGGGAAGAACAAUAUGAUUGCAGAUAAACAAACAAGCUAAAUUGACACACAAGCAUAAUCAUGCAAAGAACGUCAUAUAUUAGUUCUGUGAAACAAAGCAAAACCAACGUUACUCACCUAUCAAGAAGGAAAAAAGCAACCUCGGCGUCCCAUCGCAGGCUUUCCCGCUCCUUCAGUUCUCUCCAGCGCUGGAAAGCUGAUCCUAUAUUAACACGGGUCCUGCUUCUUGCCUUAUCAUAAGCCUUCUUUUGCUUUUCGUUUUUAUCCGCCAUGUCAAUGUUUCAAUCGCUUUCAGACAUGUGCACUGAACACUCUCUCCGCCCAUAUUGACAAGACACGCCCCUUUCUGCUCAUUGGCUACACGUUUGUUUUGUUUGUCGGCCCGACUCAGUUUUCUGAAGCAUUUCUCAAACAUUGUGUACACCACCUUUAAUAUUAACCUCUCGUUUGUAUCAGCCGGAUCUGCCUGUAAUGUAAUAGCACUCCUUUCGCACUGGUCACACUAGUUUGCACAUUAUCAUGUAUAUACUAUAGAUCUAAAUUAUAUUAAACAUACUUAUCCGCAUUCCAUCCCAUUCAUUGCAUAUUGUACAGAUCUGUUUUUAUUCUUACUUUUUUUAUUUGUCCUUAUUGUGUGGAGAUUCAUAAAUCUGUUUAUUACAGUGGCAGAGAAGUGCAAAACAAAUUAACAACUCCGAAAACACAUUAACAAAUCCAAAAACAAAUUAACAAAUCCGAAAACACAUUAACAAAUCCGAAAACAAAUUAACAAAUCCGAAAACACAUUAACAAAUCCGAAAACAAAUUAACAAAUCCGAAAACACAUUAACAAAUCCGAAAACAAAUUAACAAAUCCGAAAACACAUUAACAAAUCCGAAAACAAAUUAACAAAUCCGAAAACACAUUAACAAACCCGAAAACAAAUUAACAAAUCCAAAAACACAUUAACAAACCCGAAAACAAAUUAACAAAUCCGAAAACACAUUAACAAACCCGAAAACAAAUUAACAAAUCCGAAAACACAUUAACAAAUCCGAAAACAAAUUAACAAAUCUGAAAACAAAUGAACAAAUCCGAAAACACAUUAACAAAUCCGAAAACAAAUGAACAAAUCCGAAAACAAAUGAACAAAUCCGAAAACACAUUAACAAAUCCGAAAACACAAGGACAAGUCAGACAACCCGGAAACGGUAGUGUAUCGUUUUUGAAUGGAAACUUACCGAUCAUUGGACAAGAAACCUGUCACUCAAGAUAUACAGGCGUCAUCGGGCAUCAAGGCAGGAUACACCCUUGACGGAGUGCCAACCCUUCGCAGGGCACACACACACACACACUCACGCAAUCACAGACUACGGACAAUUUUCCAGAGAUGCCAGUCAACCUACCAUGCAUGUCUUUGGACCGGGGGAGGAAACCAGAGUACCCGGAGGAAACCCCGAGGCACGGGGAGAACAUGCAAACUCCACACACACAAGGCGGAGGCGGGAAUCGAACCCCCAACCCUGGAGGUGUGAGGCGAACGUGCUAACCACUAAGCCACCGUGCCCCCCAUAACAGAAUUAAUCCACAGUAAUCCAUUCCAUCCAUCCAUUCCAACUUUUCCCUGCGGAAGACUGUUGAACUUCAUGUAUACCUUGAUUGACAGGUGUCUUGUCCAAUCACAAACUAUACCAACCUCAUCCGGGUUGUCUGAAAUGUCGUGUUUUCGGAUUUGUUAAUGUGUUUUCAGAUUUGUUAAUGUGUUUUCGGAUUUGUUAAUGUGUUUUCUGAUUUGUUAAUGUGUUUUCUGAUUUGUUAAUGUGUUUUCAGAUUUGCUAAUUUGUUUUCGGAUUUGUUAAUGUGUUUAGUGCACCGAUUCAGACAACCCGGAAGAGGUAGGUAUAGUUUGUGAAUGGAAACUUACCGAUCAUUGGACAAGACACCUGUCAUUAAAGAUAUACAGGUGAAUGAAAGGUGUCUCGUCCGAUGAUGCUAAGUUUCCAUUCACAGACUAUACCAACACAUAGUUUGGAUUUGUUAAUGUGUUUUCAGAUAUGUUAAUGUGUUUUCGGAUUUGUUAGUGUGUUUUCAGAUUUGAUAAUGUGUUUUCGGAUUUGUUAAUUUGUUUUGCACUUCUUGACCACCGUAGUUUAUUGUAUAUUUUCUCUCUUUACAUUGCGCCUACAUUUUACAUAUUCAUUAUUAUUGUAUUUCUUCUCACAUGUAAAACUACAUGUCGUACCGUGUAUGUUUAUGUAUGUGACAAAUAAAAUGUUAUACAAAAAUAA
Molecule: long non-coding RNA, 2874 nt
Organism: Tachysurus vachellii
Lineage: Eukaryota; Metazoa; Chordata; Actinopteri; Siluriformes; Bagridae
Exons: 2
Source: RefSeq, a predicted model, not a curated record